UACGGAGGAUCCAAGCGUUAUCCGGAAUUAUUGGGUUUAAAGGGUCCGCAGGCGGUUUUUUAAGUCAGAGGUGAAAGCCAACAGCUCAACUGUUGAACUGCCUUUGAUACUGAUAGUCUUGAAUUGUAGUGAAGUGGUUAGAAUAUGUGGUGUAGCGGUGAAAUGCAUAGAUAUUACACAGAAUACCGAUUGCGAAGGCAGAUUACUAACAAUAUACUGACGCUGAGGGACGAAAGCGUGGGUAGCGAACAGG
RNAcentral lists this ribosomal RNA (253 nucleotides) under uncultured bacterium. Its description in RNAcentral is "partial 16S ribosomal RNA". It matches the Rfam family "Bacterial small subunit ribosomal RNA", at positions 524 to 776 of the family's 1533-position model. The record is from RNAcentral.